RNAcentral lists this ribosomal RNA (468 nucleotides) under uncultured bacterium. RNAcentral's name for it is "partial 16S ribosomal RNA". It matches the Rfam family "Bacterial small subunit ribosomal RNA", at positions 28 to 507 of the family's 1533-position model. The record is from RNAcentral.
GACGAACGCUGGCGGCGUGCUUAACACAUGCAAGUCGAACGGAAAGGCCCUGCUUUUGUGGGGUGCUCGAGUGGCGAACGGGUGAGUAACACGUGAGUAACCUGCCCUUGACUUUGGGAUAACUUCAGGAAACUGGGGCUAAUACCGGAUAGGAGCUCCUGCUGCAUGGUGGGGGUUGGAAAGUUUCGGCGGUUGGGGAUGGACUCGCGGCUUAUCAGCUUGUUGGUGGGGUAGUGGCUUACCAAGACUUUGACGGGUAGCCGGCCUGAGAGGGUGACCGGCCACAUUGGGACUGAGAUACGGCCCAGACUCCUACGGGAGGCAGCAGUGGGGAAUAUUGCACAAUGGGCGGAAGCCUGAUGCAGCAACGCCUCGUGCGGGAUGACGGCCUUCGGGUUGUAAACCGCUUUCGCCUGUGACGAAGCGUGAGUGACGGUAAUGGGUAAAGAAGCACCGGCUAACUACGUG